Molecule: non-coding RNA, 272 nt
Organism: Pelobates cultripes (western spadefoot toad)
Lineage: Eukaryota; Metazoa; Chordata; Amphibia; Anura; Pelobatidae
Source: the annotation of a GenBank genome assembly
CUUCAUUUUAAAAAAGGGGUAGAAAAGCUGCAGCAUUUUUCCAGGGUAUUUGUACAUAAAAAUUACAUCUCAAACACCAUCGUAAACCCUAGACAUACAGUUAACCCUGAUAAAUAUUCAGGAAUGGAACCUGGUUACUACUAUCUCAACCCUGGUACAGCCACCCUACCACUCAAAAACACAACAAAAACAUAUAGACAGCCUGUAACAGAUACAAAGGACAUAAAGUGUAGCAAGGUGCAAUAUUGCAUACAAUUUGUGCAAACUGUCAG